UGGGGAAUAUUGCACAAUGGGCGGAAGCCUGAUGCAGCAACGCCGCGUGCGGGAUGACGGCCUUCGGGUUGUAAACCGCUUUCGCCUGUGACGAAGCGUGAGUGACGGUAAUGGGUAAAGAAGCACCGGCUAACUACGUGCCAGCAGCCGCGGUGAUACGUAGGGUGCGAGCGUUGUCCGGAUUUAUUGGGCGUAAAGGGCUCGUAGGUGGUUGAUCGCGUCGGAAGUGUAAUCUUGGGGCUUAACCCUGAGCGUGCUUUCGAUACGGGUUGACUUGAGGAAGGUAGGGGAGAAUGGAAUUCCUGGUGGAGCGGUGGAAUGCGCAGAUAUCAGGAGGAACACCAGUGGCGAAGGCGGUUCUCUGGGCCUUUCCUGACGCUGAGGAGCGAAAGCGUGGGGAGCGAACAGGCUUAGAUACCCUGGUAGUCCACGCUGUAAACGGUGGGUACUAGGUGUGGGGUCCAUUCCACGGGUUCCGCGCCGUAGCUAACGCUUUAAGUACCCCGCCUGGGGAGUACGGCCGCAAGGCUAAAACUCAAAGGAAUUGAC
RNAcentral lists this ribosomal RNA (549 nucleotides) under uncultured bacterium. Its description in RNAcentral is "partial 16S ribosomal RNA". It matches the Rfam family "Bacterial small subunit ribosomal RNA", at positions 355 to 914 of the family's 1533-position model. The record is from RNAcentral.